AGUGAACGCUGGCGGCGUGCUUAAUACAUGCAAGUCGAACGAUGAAGCUUCUAGCUUGCUAGAAGUGGAUUAGUGGCGCACGGGUGAGUAAUAUAUAGUUAAUCUGCCUUGCACUGAGGAACAACAGUUGGAAACGAUUGCUAAUACCUCAUACUCCAACUUAGCAUAAGUUAAGUUGGGAAAGUCUUUUCGGUGCAAGAUGAGACUAUAUCGUAUCAGCUAGUUGGUAAGGUAAUGGCUUACCAAGGCUAUGACGCGUAACUGGUCUGAGAGGAUGAUCAGUCACAUUGGAACUGAGACACGGUCCAAACUCCUACGGGAGGCAGCAGUAAGGAAUAUUGUGCAAUGGGGGAAACCCUGACGCAGCAACGCCGCGUGGAGGAUGACACUUUUCGGAGCGUAAACUCCUUUUGUUAGGGAAGAAUAAUGACGGUACCUAACGAAUAAGCACCGGCUAACUCCGU
This 464-nucleotide ribosomal RNA is filed under the name uncultured bacterium. RNAcentral's name for it is "partial 16S ribosomal RNA". It matches the Rfam family "Bacterial small subunit ribosomal RNA", at positions 29 to 506 of the family's 1533-position model. The record is from RNAcentral.